RNAcentral lists this ribosomal RNA (441 nucleotides) under uncultured bacterium. RNAcentral describes it as "partial 16S ribosomal RNA". It matches the Rfam family "Bacterial small subunit ribosomal RNA", at positions 338 to 795 of the family's 1533-position model. The record is from RNAcentral.
CCUACGGGAGGCAGCAGUGGGGAAUAUUGCACAAUGGGGGAAACCCUGAUGCAGCGACGCCGCGUGAGUGAAGAAGUAUUUCGGUAUGUAAAGCUCUAUCAGCAGGGAAGAAAAUGACGGUACCUGACUAAGAAGCCCCCGCUAACUACGUGCCAGCAGCCGCGGUAAUACGUAGGGGGCAAGCGUUAUCCGGCCUUACUGGGUGGAAAGGGAGCGUAGGUGGCAUGGUAAGCCAGAAGUGAAAACCCGGGGGUCAACCCCGCGGAUUGCUUUUGGAACUAUCAGGCUGGAGUGCUGGAGGGGUAAGCGGAAUUCCUAGUGUAGCGGUGAAAUGCGUAGAUAUUAGGAGGAACACCAGUGGCGAAGGCGGCUUACUGGACAGAAACUGACACUGAGGCUCGAAAGCGUGGGGAGCAAACAGGAUUAGAUACCCCGGUAGUC